Molecule: ribosomal RNA, 229 nt
Filed under: uncultured bacterium
Lineage: Bacteria
Description: partial 16S ribosomal RNA
Rfam family: Bacterial small subunit ribosomal RNA
Source: RNAcentral
UACGAAGGGGGGCUAGCGUUGUUCGGAAUUACUGGGCGUAAAGGGCGCGUAGGCGGUGUGUCAAGUCAGGCGUGAAAGCCCCCGGGCUCAACCUGGGAACCGCGCUUGAGACUGGCACGCUAGAGUUCGGGAGAGGAUGGUGGAAUUCCCAGUGUAGAGGUGAAAUUCGUAGAUAUUGGGAAGAACACCGAUGGCGAAGGCAGCCAUCUGGACCGACACUGACGCGUGA